CAGCCGCCACGGGAAUACGGAGGGUGCAAGCGUUAAUCGGAAUUACUGGGCGUAAAGCGCACGCAGGCGGUCUGACAAGUCAGAUGUGAAAUCCCCGGGCUUAACCUGGGAACUGCAUUUGAAACUGUCAGACUGGAGUCUUGUAGAGGGGGGUGGAAUUCCAGGUGUAGCGGUGAAAUGCGUAGAGAUCUGGAGGAAUACCGGUGGCGAAGGCGGCCCCCUGGACAAAGACUGACGCUCAGGUGCGAAAGCGUGGGGAGCAAACAGGAUUAGAUACCCGCGUAGUCCCUGUCUCUUAUAC
Molecule: ribosomal RNA, 301 nt
Filed under: uncultured bacterium
Lineage: Bacteria
Description: partial 16S ribosomal RNA
Rfam family: Bacterial small subunit ribosomal RNA
Source: RNAcentral